RNAcentral lists this long non-coding RNA (209 nucleotides) under Nicotiana benthamiana. RNAcentral's name for it is "long non-coding RNA (NBEN_LNC007353)". Lineage: Eukaryota; Viridiplantae; Streptophyta; Magnoliopsida; Solanales; Solanaceae. The record is from RNAcentral.
UCUAGAGUUGAUUUUCUAACACAUGAAUAUGAACUCUUUAGAAUGAGGGAGAAUGAAAGCAUCGAUAUUAUGUUCGAACGGUUCUCAAUGAUCAUAUACGAUCUCCAUGCUCUCGGAAAAGUAUAUUCGAAAGUACGAGGUAACCGCAAAACUUAUGAAAGUACGAUUCUUAAUCCUUCUUUUGGAAACAAGAAAAAUUCGAAUAUUGC